RNAcentral lists this ribosomal RNA (417 nucleotides) under uncultured bacterium. RNAcentral's name for it is "bacterial SSU rRNA". It matches the Rfam family "Bacterial small subunit ribosomal RNA", at positions 29 to 494 of the family's 1533-position model. The record is from RNAcentral.
ACGAACGCUGGCGGCAUGCCUAACACAUGCAAGUCGAACGAGACCUUCGGGUCUAGUGGCGCACGGGUGCGUAACGCGUGGGAAUCUGCCCUUGGGUCCGGAAUAACUCAGAGAAAUUUGAGCUAAUACCGGAUGAUGACGUAAGUCCAAAGAUUUAUCGCCCAGGGAUGAGCCCGCGUAGGAUUAGCUAGUUGGUGAGGUAAAGGCUCACCAAGGCGACGAUCCUUAGCUGGCUGAGAGGAUGAUCAGCCACACUGGGACUGAGACACGGCCCAGACUCCUACGGGAGGCAGCAGUGGGAAUAUUGGACAAUGGGCGAAAGCCUGAUCCAGCAAUGCCGCGUGAGUGAUGAAGGCCUUAGGGUUGUAAAGCUCUUUUACCCGGGAUGAUAAUGACAGUACCGGGAGAAUAAGCCCC